Sphaeramia orbicularis (orbiculate cardinalfish) is the source of this 342-nucleotide long non-coding RNA. RefSeq lists it as uncharacterized. The record is from RefSeq and is a predicted model, not a curated record. Lineage: Eukaryota; Metazoa; Chordata; Actinopteri; Kurtiformes; Apogonidae. The transcript is spliced from 3 exons.
UGUCAGUCUGCUUCCAAACGGACUCUGGGCCAGUUCACUUCUAGUGGGAAUAUGACCAGCCUCGAGCUGAAACAAACCAAGGAACCAUGAGCCUUUUUGUGCUUGACAAGUCACUGUAGCCACUGGAAGUAGCAGAGCUGCACAGGUAGUCAGAGCUAACAGCAGCAGCCAUGAGCCGUGGACAGACAUGGAGCAAUGAGAAGACUGAAUGUCUCAUUGACAUUUGGUCAGAUGUUCAUAUUACCAAACUGGCUCCAAAUGAGCUGUUCUUGACAGUUAACGUUAUUUUGAUAAAGUUGUGUCUGUAAAAAUAGAAUACAUAUUCCAAAACUGAUAACUGCA